CCGCGUGUAUGUGUGUGUGUGUGAUCUCAGUGCUAUGUCUCCGUCCUGGGUGAGGUCUAAUAAUAGAGGAGACAGUCUGCUCCUUUAAGACCCUUCUUGUUGCAUAUUCUACAAAAUAUAACCUAUUGUAAGAAAAUGGUCAUCAAAGUAUUCCUCGCCUCUUCAUCGGGAUCCACAGCGAUCAAGAAGAAGCAGCAAGAUGUGGUCGCCUUCUUGGAGGCGCUUAAAGUGGACUACACUGAGCUGGACAUCGCCUGCAGCGAAGAGAACCGCAUGUGGAUGAGGCAGAACGUUCCUCAGGACAAGAAGCCUGCCAACGGCAUCCCCCUCCCGCCACAGAUUUUUAAUGAAGAGAGUUACUGUGGGGAUUAUGAGACUUUCUUCGAUGCUAAGGAGGACAACUCGGUGUAUACCUUCUUGGGGCUGCCCCCUCCCCCUGGCUCAAAGGAAGCAGUUCAGGCUGAGGAGGAGCACAUAAUGCAGAACGGGACCCAUGUUGAGGAAAACCCUGAUGACUCAGUAGAGGUUCCAGUGGAGGAGCGUAAUGGUGAUGCACACGGAGAUAAGGACCAGGGAGAGGCAGCUGAUGAGGAGGAAGGUGAGGGUGGCAAAGCAGGUGAUGAAGCCACCGAAGGAGAAACAGCAGUAGACGAGGCCCCUGCUGAGGAGGAGGAGGAAGGGGAGGAGGCAGUGGAAGAAACAGAAGAGGUCACAGAAGACACACAGGCUCAAGCAGAAGAGGAAGAAGAACAGUUGGGGAAUUUACUUGUUGUUCAAAUACAUCCAUCACCUAACCGAUUCCACUCCAUUCAAAGAAAUCAUUGUCAGAGGUGGAAGAGGAUUUGCAGUCAGAGGAGGAAGAAGAGCUACGGCAGCUUGAGGAAGAAGAAGAAGCUGAAGUAGAAGAGGGAGAAGAAGAAGACUUGGAAGACACACAGGAGUAAGAGGCUGAGUAAACCAAGUGGACAAUGAUGAUGCCUUGCUACUGUCCAGCCCGAAGGAGCCCCUUGUUCCGUCUCGCCCUGACGCUCGACGCCCCCCACCCCGCCUCCCUUCCGUGACCCGUCCGAUGGCCCCUCUACCAAUGCUUCAUUGGAACCUUCUGGAAACAGUUGGUCACAUGCUUGAAGGAGCCAUUCAAA
Melanotaenia boesemani (Boeseman's rainbowfish) is the source of this 1142-nucleotide RNA transcript. It is a transcript of the gene named SH3 domain binding glutamate-rich protein, with no coding region annotated. The transcript has 13 exons. Lineage: Eukaryota; Metazoa; Chordata; Actinopteri; Atheriniformes; Melanotaeniidae. The record is from RefSeq and is a predicted model, not a curated record.